This 6052-nucleotide unclassified non-coding RNA is filed under the name Homarus americanus (American lobster). RNAcentral's name for it is "mTOR-associated protein MEAK7-like, transcript variant X1". The record is from RNAcentral. Lineage: Eukaryota; Metazoa; Arthropoda; Malacostraca; Decapoda; Nephropidae.
GCUGAUUUUUGUCAAGCCGCAGACGCAAAUGUUCUCCUGUCAAUUUUACUCCAUCGCCGAGGAAUUCUGGCCAUUUUUGCGAUUUCUAUAAUCUACAGACGUAUCCUUGUGCAUUGUAACAUAGAUUUAUGAAAGAUGGGGGUAGAAGGCAGCAAGAAUAUCAUCAUACGAAAGGAGUACUUUACUAAGGAAGAGCGACAGCGUGUUCUAAACACUAUGCAAAAGCUUGCUAAAGGAGGUGAUGCUGUGGCUCUUACUUCAUUAGAGAAACAUAUCUCCAGUCGACUGAAUCCAGAAACAGCCAAAAAGUUUUUAAGGAUUUUGGCCAAAGGCAGAAAUAUUCCAUCCUUACCAUGUUCAACAGUUGUGGAUACCUUAGGUCCUCUUCUGAAAGGCUCAAUGGAAGAACACCUUUUUCUGACCCUCACCUUAGCUGGUGGAGGCCAAGAAGGAAUAGAUAGUAAUCGUAUUAUUAAAUAUACUGAAGUUUUUGUGUCUUCAUACCUUCGAAUCAUAACUGGCCAAUCAGGCUACAGAGGGUGGAAAUCUGGGCCUACAGACACUGUGAAACGUGUGUCUCAAGCCUUGUUACAUGAUUUACUGUACUCUGGUGGGAGUCCUAAAGAGACAUGGGGCAAACCACCUCCCAAGGUACGGUUCUCUUACGAUGACUUUGAGAGAUGGUGUUUGGGUCACUCGGUCUUCACCACACUGGAGACAGAAGUUCUCAAACAUUGCUUCUCAUUCUCACCCAUUGACCACACAGCGCUCAUGCCACAAGCCUCUCAACUUCCUUCGACAUUUCCAUCCAUGCUGUCAGCGGGUCAAGUACUGUACCUGAACAAUGCCCUGCCACCACUCCUACAGUCAGAGUGGAGAUUCCUCUUUUCUACAACUACACAUGGAUGGAGCUUCAGUAUAUUUAUGAAGCAGAUUGUUGCAAAAGGUCCCACACUCAUAGUUGUGGAGGACCAGUCGAGAAAUAAAUUUGGAGGUUUCGCGUCAGUCUCCUGGGAAGUCAGGCCUCAGUUCCAGGGUACACCAGAAUGCUUCUUGUUUGCCCUGGAGCCUCAGGCUGGGAUAUUCCGCAGCACAGGAUACAAUAGCAACUUUAUGUACCUCAACUACUUGGAGAAGAAUACUAUGCCUAAUGGACUGGGCAUGGGCGGCCGAGAGGAGUUAUUUGGAUUUUGGCUUGACUAUGACUUUGGUAAAGGGACGGUGGCGCCCUCAUGUAGCACGUUCUGCAGCCCCCCGCUGUCCCCACACCCGGAGUUAGAAGUGCGUAGUGUAGAAGUCUGGGCACUUGGACCUGAGGAGGAAGACUCUGAUGAAGAGGAGGGAACUCGAAAAAAGAAAAGUGCUUUGGAUGCAAAUCCUGAUGCUCGUGCUGUGCUGGACAUGGUGGGCAAAGGAAGAGCAAGUGAUGGCUACAGGGAAGAGCCACAAGAGUAGAAGCACAUAAAAUAAUUUUAUGUAGAGGAAUGAUAUUAGAACAAAAAUAAGAAGGAAGUGGGGAAGACAUCCCCCAUCCCCAGUGAUUGAUGCCCAUGUGGCCUGCAAGACAGUUGUUGGUAAAGCAGCCAAGGUGAUCGGUUAAGUCAUUAGUAUGGAUGUGAAACUGCAAGUGAUAGAGAUGUGCAGUAGGUGUGAGGCAAUGGUGGUCAACAGCACGGCAAGCUCUUACAAAAUGAAGUGGUGAGUGUUGACUAAAUUUAGUUUCAUAUGUUAUUUAUGUUAACAAUGCCUUGUUUUUAUGUAUACAAAUCAUAAGUAUAUCUGUAGAUCCAUUACCAUUACCCAAGAAAGCUGUCCUGUACCAUUUAUGGGGUUAAGAAUAAUAUUGACACUCGGGAACAUACCGUAAACUGUCUGUUUUAAGAGGUCUGACUGUACUGAACUUUGACUUGUACAACCUGAGAAGCAACUACUGUAUUAUCCCAAGUUUUAGCGAAUAUUAUGCAGGAAAGUUGAGCCAUCUGAUGCACGCCUCUGUGUACUGUACCUCGUAAACAGUUGGCAGGGACGUGGAACCUUGGAAAGGGGUAGACAGUUUUACAAUCGAUUUGCAUAAUUAAUUCAUUUCUCCGAUGAUCAUUUAUUACUGAGUGUGCGUCUGUAUUCCACAAAUAGAAUAGUAAGUCCACUAUCUUUAUUUCAAACUAUCAUUUGUAGAACAAGUUGAAGCUUGUAUCUAGUCAUACAUACCAACUGACCAGAUGUAGUCAGGUUAUGCUUUCAUUAUAAUCCGCCAAAUUUCAAUGUUCAUCGGCCAAAGUUGGGAAGGUACUUAUUUCUUAGACUGUACUGUACAUAUCUGAUUAUAUCCAAACAGUGUACAGUAUACUGUAUAGCAAACUCAGUAAACAUAAUUCAUACAAUAAUAAAGUAGGAUGUGGAAGGACUACAAAAUACUGUACUGUAUCAGCAUAAAUUUUAUUUUGCAUUAUAAUUAACAAGAGUUACUACAAUUCAAACUCACAUGGUAAAAACAUUGGGAUAAUUUAAGACUUACAUAGUUAUACGGUACAUAAAAAUAUAUAAUUUUUUCACCAUUAACCAAAUGAGCAUAAUCAAAUCAAGUGUAAUAAAUAGCAACCAUAAAAUCUAAAGAUCUUUUUACUCGGGAAGGUUUUAUCUUCCUUCACAACUACAGUUAACAAACAUAACUACAGUGUUGACAAAAUGAAGAAGUAGUAUGUUUAAUGCAGUGAUUCUUUUAAUAGUAUUUGUCAGUCAACAUAAAGCCAUGACUCAGUGUUUACAAUAUUUUCACGAUCCUUAGCAUUUGAUUCCUCAAUAAAUUACAUAACAAACGUACUGUAAUAUAAAAUAAAAGUCGCAGAAAAGCACUUCUAGAUCAAAAAGAAUAUUGUACAUAUCAUGCCACUUAGAAAACAAGUAUUCUUCUCGGUGAUCUUUCCUCAUAGACAUUUGCUUUUUCAUCCUCGUACCAAACUAAAGUUAAGUGUAUGACAAGGAUCUUGUGAUUCCCGUACUUGACAGUCACUGAUCCAUUCUUGCCUCUCUAAUUUUUAACUUGGAUCAUAUUUUUCAUGUUACACACCACAGUUACACCAGCAGCUACCUAUAUACAAAACAUGGUAGGGUAGGGUGGGGUGUCUAGGGUAUAUCUAAACUGGGUAAAUUAUUCUGGAAAAUGGGCAAUAAUUUUGGUUCUGUGGGUUUCUCUCUCGUAUUUAAGAAAAUCUUAUGCCACUUCAGACUACGAGAACACUUAUGUGGAUUACGUGUUUACACCUUCACUGUGGGGUUGCUGCUUUGAAUAUUUUAUUUGGCUAAUAUCAGAUGAUUUUAUUCACCUUGGAAGUGAUCCCAUCCACAAGGGGUUAAAAUGGAUUUGGUUUACAUCUUACAUGAGUAUGAGAAACUAGGUCAUUUUAGUAUGUAUAAUCAACUUUAAAUUCAAUAAAACAUAUCCAGGAACUUUUACCAAAUUACGUAAAGAAAAAAAAAUAUCAACUUGGAUGAAAGACAAUGAAACGCAAUAACAGGUCCUCCAUUUUGCACCAUUAUAGAAAUGUAUAAACUUUCUAUUGUUGCCUGAAUUGUGCUGUGGGUAUAACUGAAAGUAUCUCUCACUGGAGUAUUAUGUUUUUUGUUUAGAAUAACAGUGACGUCGCAUUAAUUCACGAAAUUCAAAUUCUCAUUCUUAAAUUUGCGGGUACCUCCAGUACUAACAUCUUUUUAAAUUUUGUGGUAAAAUAUCCAUAAUUCAUGGCUGAGUUCUGGCUGCCACAGUGUUUAUUUACAUAAGAAACCAUAAAAGUUGUGGAAAUAUAAAUAUGACUUCAAAGGUUCAAUCAUUGGAAGACUUAGAGUUAUGGAAGUUAAAUCAUAUUAAAUCAUCUCUCCAGUGGUGAUAAAUUAGCAACAUUUUUGGACUGAACCUUGAACAUUGGUGGGAGAUUAUUGUACUACAGAACAUGUAAAUGGUGUGAAGCUUACAGUAUUAUUCUUUUCAUUUAAAACUAAUGAUUCAUAAAUAUAAUACUGUACUGUAUCUAUAAGAGAUGUUCUGGGUCCUCCCUCCCCCCAAAAAACAUGUUUAGAUUUUAAAUGAUAGGUAAAGGCUUUAUGGUUAGUUUGCUGGUACUGUACUAUAAUGUUAUUUGCUCAUUAAAACUGCCACUCCACUUUGGAUGUGGUUCUGGCUUUGUAAACUUGAUAAUACAAGUAUAAACAAAGUAAUGAUUUCUCAAACAUUUAUCCUUGUUACAUCACAAAAACAACUUAGAAGAAUUGAAAUAUUUAUUCACUUUAUACUGUUCAGAGACAUGGCUCCUGAUCAUGAACUCUGCUGUUGAGGUGGACUUGGUCAGUUUUUGUGGCAAAAACUAGUUUGGUCUAGAUGUAAAAGCUAAUGACUAUCUCCUAAUUGGUUUACAGUUCUCUUAAUGAAGGAUAAACACUAUAAAGCAGAUGUCUCAGUUACAUCAACAUGGAAUUAAUUAACUCAUAUGUUCAUAAAGGAAGCAAAUUCAUGUUUUGCAUCAGUUACAUAUUAGGUGAACUGCUUCCUUACUGUAUAUAUUGUACGAUACAGUAUUAAAAUAACACUCUAAUUAAAAUAUCAAGAUUGAGAUCAACACUGGUACAAGACAACCUGCUUCUAACUGAAAAUUAUAUUUACAUACAAACACUGCAACCACAAGCAUAGACAAUUACUAUCCUUUAGGAAAAUAUCAAGUUCAUAGAUGCCAUCAUUCUUGUAGGGUAUUUAACAGGAAUAUUAAACAAUGUAUAAGAGUCUGUACAAGGAAUCCAGUUAGCUUUAAAUUCUGGUCUUAUGUCCUGUGACCGACACCCGAGUUGUUAUCUUGGGUUAAUAAUAAUAAACGACUUAGAUGAUACAUAUUAAGAGAUUUGGGGCAAUAGGAAACACAGCCACCCACCAAUAUGUUGCAUAUUGUUAUUUUUGCUGCCAAUAUUUUUGUCUCCCCAAAUGUGUCUUUAUUCCUUGUACAAAAAUAGAAAGGGGAUAAAACUGUAACCCUUGUCUGAUCGUCCAUUCAUAUAUCCGUUCCAUCUAUAGCUGUACUGUACGUACAUACAACCUGACUUCAUUACAAUUUGCCAUAUAGCACAGUAGUAGUAGUGAAACUUUAGAAGCACAUGCAAUUUCAUAAGUUUUACAGCUUAAUAUCAAAAGUAGGCAACUGACCUACAUUUUUGCACUUUCUGACAUUUGUUAUGUUUUAAGUUAGCUUUUGCAAUUAGCUAAUUUUUGGAGGUUAACCUUUGUUGUCAAUGUGCAUAGUGUGAUAACAGUGAAGUAGACACAGUUUCUAGUUCUGUUUAUUGUCCUUCCUGUAUCUACCAGUAAUAAAAAGUACAUACAUACAUAUCACCUCACUCAGUAUAAACUUACAUUCUUUGUUGUUCUUACACUAAAUGUGCAUCUUUCACUACUUUUUUUUCUCCUCCCCCAUAAAUUUAUUCCUUGUGUAAAUGAUGAUAUUCAAUUAAUAAUAACAUGCCAAAACCAAACACAUCAAUUAUAAAUUUUAUAUACGUGAAUACCAGAUGGUCUUUCCCUCACUGACGGAUUUUUUCCAUUAGCCUCACUCCUCAAGCUUCCUGUCCGACCAAUAUGAUUUUAGUUGUUUCCCAUUUCUUUAGCUUUUUUGUCUUAAUUAAUUUAAUUGGUUACACUGAUCAACUCACCCAGCAUGACUACACUAAUUCUUUUCUUGUGUUAAAAGUAUUUGGCAGCUGCUUUAUGUACAUAACCACUAGACAAAUGCACAGAAUUAUUUUAUUAGUAUUUUUAACAAAGCUGCUGGAUCUUUGAUAUGUGAUUGUAUGGAGACACAUAAUGACCAAGUUAUUUAUACAGUAUAAGAUCUUAAAUGUUUUGUUUUUAUUGUAAUUUAAAGAAAGUCCUAUUUAACAUAUACUGUAUAGAGAUCCACCCACAUUUCAACAAAGCAAACGGCUAAUCUAAAGUUCUAGCUGCACCCGUAUUUGAUGAAAGUGAAGAGCUUUAAUAAUCAAGAAUAAGAUAUAACUGAUAAAUACCAAAAAUAUA